RNAcentral lists this microRNA (23 nucleotides) under Monodelphis domestica (gray short-tailed opossum). RNAcentral describes it as "mdo-miR-1544f-5p". Lineage: Eukaryota; Metazoa; Chordata; Mammalia; Didelphimorphia; Didelphidae. The record is from miRBase by way of RNAcentral.
UGCACUCAGGGAUAGAAUAGCGG